UACGGGGGGGGCAAGCGUUGUUCGGAAUUACUGGGCGGAAAGGGUUCGUAGGUGGCUUGCUAAGUCAGACGUGAAAUCCCUCAGCUUAACUGGGGAACUGCGUCUGAGACUGGCAAGCUUGAGUGCAGGAGAGGAAUGCGGAAUUCCAGGUGUAGCGGUGAAAUGCGUAGAUAUCUGGAGGAACACCGGUGGCGAAGGCGGCGUUCUGGACUGCAACUGACACUGAGGAACGAAAGCCAGGGGAGCAAACGGG
RNAcentral lists this ribosomal RNA (253 nucleotides) under uncultured bacterium. RNAcentral describes it as "partial 16S ribosomal RNA". It matches the Rfam family "Bacterial small subunit ribosomal RNA", at positions 524 to 776 of the family's 1533-position model. The record is from RNAcentral.